UCUACUUAUUAUUAUGCUUCUACUAUGAAUUUCUUCAAUCUUUAGUUAAUUUCUUCUAACAAACUCAGAGAAUAUAUGAGAUUUCCAAAAUCUCUUUUUCAUCUAUAUAUUCUUUAAUUUUCUUAGCUAGCAGGAUCAUGAUAUGCUAAUUUAAUUAUUGUUUGCAGGAACAAUAAUAAUAACAAUCAGAAAUUCGGAAUAGAAGCAGUUUUCUUCAAAAGGAUGGUCAUUAUGAGAUUCAUACUUGUUGAGGGACAUUUUCUGAUCAUAUUUUAGGUACACUCAUAAUAAGGUUGUGGAGCUUCGAUUUCUACUUUCUACUUCUAUUUCUCGAAGAUGAUGGGGAAACAUUACUUUCAUGAAGAGAAGAAUAUAUAAGAGGUGAAGAACAAGAACAAGAAUCAGAAUCCAUCAUGAUUCCUUGCAAAGAAUCUUUGACCCUUUUGAAUGGAAAGUUGAGAAGAGCAGAGUAGCCUCUCAUGGAGAAUGCAGCUUGAUCAUAAGCCAAAGCAGCAUCUUCUGCACUCUCGAAUGUUCCAAGCCAAACCCUUCUUCCAUUCCUUGUUGUGUCUCGAAUUUCCGCUGCGAAUUUCCCCCAUGGCCUUUUCCGAACUCCUAUGUAAUUUCUUCUAAUUCCCUUGCCACCAUCAACUUGUUCUUCUUCAUCAUCUUCAAGCUGCUUCUUCUUCUUGAUGUUCUCUGUGGUUGUUGGUGAUUGUGAUUGUGAAUAAUCAAUGGAGAAGUCAAUGAUAUCAUCAUCAAAGGAAAGUGAUGAAUUGUUAUUAAUGAAAGAAGGGUGAUUAACAACAUGGGUUGUGAAUAAUCCAUUAUUGUUGGUUGUGAAGAAUGAUUGGGAGCAGAAAGUGUGUGAAACAUUGUUAUGAUCAUGAUGGGACAUGUCCCAAUCUGGGAUCUCAAAGAAAGGAGGCGUAGUAGUGCUCAUUUUUGUACCUUUAAUUGUGUAUGAUUAUAUGAUAUCAUAAUCACUUAUGGCUCUCUGUGACUACUUAUUUAUAUACUGAAACCUAGAGAUCCCACCCAAAUUGUUUAUGUUUCUUACCAUGUUAUAUUUAUA
Arachis stenosperma is the source of this 1075-nucleotide long non-coding RNA. RefSeq lists it as uncharacterized. The transcript has 4 exons. Lineage: Eukaryota; Viridiplantae; Streptophyta; Magnoliopsida; Fabales; Fabaceae. The record is from RefSeq and is a predicted model, not a curated record.